RNAcentral lists this small nucleolar RNA (73 nucleotides) under Nelumbo nucifera (sacred lotus). RNAcentral's name for it is "Small nucleolar RNA Z199". It matches the Rfam family "Small nucleolar RNA Z199". From Rfam's summary of the family: snoZ199 is a C/D box small nucleolar RNA, which acts as a methylation guide RNA for sites on 18S and 25S rRNA. The record is from Rfam by way of RNAcentral. Lineage: Eukaryota; Viridiplantae; Streptophyta; Magnoliopsida; Proteales; Nelumbonaceae.
GGAUCAUCUGAUGAGAAAAAAACUGCAACAAUAUGAUGCUUCAUGAUUUGUUGUAUUUAAGUCUCUGAUGAUC